UGGGGAAUAUUGGACAAUGGGCGAAAGCCUGAUCCAGCAAUGCCGCGUGUGUGAAGAAGGCCUGCGGGUUGUAAAGCACUUUCGGUGGGAAAGAAAAGACCGGUGCUAAUACCAUCGGUUCUUGACGUUACCCAUAGAAGAAGCACCGGCUAAUUCCGUGCCAGCAGCCGCGGUAAUACGGAAGGUGCAAGCGUUAAUCGGAAUUACUGGGCGUAAAGCGCGCGUAGGUGGUUUGAUAAGUCGGGUGUGAAAGCCCUGGGCUCAACCUGGGAACUGCAUUCGAUACUGUCUAGCUAGAGUGCGGCAGAGGGGGGUAGAAUUCC
This 323-nucleotide ribosomal RNA is filed under the name uncultured bacterium. Its description in RNAcentral is "bacterial SSU rRNA". It matches the Rfam family "Bacterial small subunit ribosomal RNA", at positions 355 to 670 of the family's 1533-position model. The record is from RNAcentral.